GCAGCAGCAUGAGCUUCUGGUGUCAAUUUUGCACUGUCAUCUUCAAGAUCUGAAGCUGCAAUCCAAUCAAUUGAUGGCUUCAAUGAACAUGCAAUACAAGCAUGUAGAAGGGCCUUCACAACAGACAGAUAUGAAUCUGUCAGGCCAACGUACUUCCCAACCAUUGCAAUCCUAACAGAAUUGGUAAGAUUAUCAAAAGUCUCAGCCAUCUUGGUCCAAUCUUGUAAAUCAGGAGGUGUUGCAAUGCUGAGUAAGUUAAGCUGUUUUAGAACUGCAUGAUGAGCAUUUUGGUUCCUAAGUAAUAGAGGGACAUGCCAAAUGUUUG
Molecule: unclassified non-coding RNA, 325 nt
Filed under: Hevea brasiliensis (rubber tree)
Lineage: Eukaryota; Viridiplantae; Streptophyta; Magnoliopsida; Malpighiales; Euphorbiaceae
Source: RNAcentral